This 421-nucleotide ribosomal RNA is filed under the name uncultured bacterium. RNAcentral describes it as "partial 16S ribosomal RNA". It matches the Rfam family "Bacterial small subunit ribosomal RNA", at positions 360 to 773 of the family's 1533-position model. The record is from RNAcentral.
AAUAUUGGACAAUGGGGGCAACCCUGAUCCAGCCAGGCCGCGUGUGUGAAGAAGGUCUUCGGAUUGUAAAGCACUUUAAGUUGGGAGGAAGGGCUUUAGGUUAAUACCCUGAAGCAUUGACGUUACCAACAGAUUAAGCAUCGGCUAACAACGUGCCAGCAGCCGCGGUAAUAAAGAGGGUGCAAGCGUUAAUCGGAAAUACUGGGCGUAAAGCGCGCGUAGGUGGUUCAGUAAGAUGGGUGUGAAAUCCCCGGGCUUAACCUGGGAACUGCUUUCAUAACUGCUGAGCUAGAGUACGGUAGAGGGUAGUGGACUUUCCUGUGUAGCGGUGAAAUGCGUAGAUAUAGGAAGGAACACCAGUGGCGAAGGCGACUACCUGGACUGAUACUGACACUGAGGUGCGAAAGCGUGGGGAGCAAAC